CCUACGGGGGGCUGCAGUGGGGAAUAUUGGACAAUGGGGGGAACCCUGAUCCAGCCAUGCCGCGUGUGUGAAGAAGGCCCUCGGGUUGUAAAGCACUUUCAGUGAGGAAGAACGCCUGGUGGUUAAUACCCAUCAGGAAAGACAUCACUCACAGAAGAAGCACCGGCUAACUCCGUGCCAGCAGCCGAGGUAAUACGGAGGGUGCGAGCGUUAAUCGGAAUUACUGGGCGUAAAGCGCGCGUAGGUGGCUUGAUAAGCCGGUUGUGAAAGCCCCGGGCUCAACCUGGGAACGGCAUCCGGAACUGUCAAGCUAGAGUGCAGGAGAGGAAGGUAGAAUUCCCGGUGUAGCGGUGACAUGCGUAGAGAUCGGGAGGAAUACCAGUGGCGAAGGCGGCCUUCUGGACUGACACUGACACUGAGGUGCGAAAGCGUGGGUAGCAAACAGGAUUAGAUACCCCAGUAGUC
RNAcentral lists this ribosomal RNA (465 nucleotides) under Vreelandella stevensii. Its description in RNAcentral is "partial 16S ribosomal RNA". It matches the Rfam family "Bacterial small subunit ribosomal RNA", at positions 338 to 795 of the family's 1533-position model. Lineage: Bacteria; Pseudomonadati; Pseudomonadota; Gammaproteobacteria; Oceanospirillales; Halomonadaceae. The record is from RNAcentral.